Molecule: non-coding RNA, 117 nt
Filed under: Nomascus leucogenys (northern white-cheeked gibbon)
Lineage: Eukaryota; Metazoa; Chordata; Mammalia; Primates; Hylobatidae
Source: Rfam by way of RNAcentral
GCUGGGCAUGGUGGCUCAUGCCUGUAAUCCCAGAACUUUGGGAGGCCGAGGUGGGAGGAUCACUUGAGGUCAGGAGUUCGAGACCAGCCUGGCCAACAUGGUGAAACCCCAUCUCUA